ACCAAGCCAUGAUGUUGUAGGAAUUGUCUGUAGAGCUCAGAGACAGGAUUGUGUCCAGGCACAGAUCUGAAGAAGGAUACCAAAACAUUUCUGCAGCAUUGAAGGUCCCAAAGAACACAGUGGCCUCCAUCAUUCUUAAAUGGAUGAAGUUUGGAGAGUAGGACUUUUAUUCUCUUAAAGAAGUUCGAUGGAAUUUAAACUGCAAACUUGGUGUUGGAGUCGUGCAUGGCCACACAGUCGUGGGUGAACAGGGAGUACAGAUGGGGACUAAGCACACACCCCCGAGGGCCCCUGUUUUUAUGGUCAGCAUGGUGGAUGUGUUGCCUACCGGCUACUGAAGGCUACACUCAGACAAGGCUGGUGGUCUGCUGUUGGCCACCCAUCUCUGUGUGAUUGAGAUAUGUGUGGUACAGUAUCUGCCGAUUUUAUAUCGUUUUUUUUUUUUUAGGUAAUGAAAAACAUUUUUUUUUAUACAAAUUGUGCUCCAAAGGAUUAAUAGACCCUAAAUUAUGAUUUCUUAACUACACUAAACAAAAAUAUAAAUGCAACAUGUAAAGUGUUGUUCCCAUGUUUCAUGAGUUGAAAUAAAAGAUCCCAG
Molecule: long non-coding RNA, 598 nt
Filed under: Salmo salar (Atlantic salmon)
Lineage: Eukaryota; Metazoa; Chordata; Actinopteri; Salmoniformes; Salmonidae
Description: lncRNA (ENSSSAG00000092549.1)
Source: RNAcentral